This 500-nucleotide ribosomal RNA is filed under the name uncultured bacterium. Its description in RNAcentral is "bacterial SSU rRNA". It matches the Rfam family "Bacterial small subunit ribosomal RNA", at positions 8 to 492 of the family's 1533-position model. The record is from RNAcentral.
AGAGUUUGAUCCUGGCUCAGGACGAACGCUGGCGGCGUGCCUAAUACAUGCAAGUCGAGCGGACUUUUGGGAGCUUGCUCCCAAAAGUUAGCGGCGGACGGGUGAGUAACACGUGGGCAACCUGCCUAUAAGACUGGGAUAACUUCGGGAAACCGGAGCUAAUACCGGAUAAUUCCUUUCCUCUCAUGAGGGAAGGCUGAAACACGGUUUACGCUGUCACUUAUAGACGGGCCCGCGGCGCAUUAGCUAGUUGGUGAGGUAACGGCUCACCAAGGCAACGAUGCGUAGCCGACCUGAGAGGGUGAUCGGCCACACUGGGACUGAGACACGGCCCAGACUCCUACGGGAGGCAGCAGUAGGGAAUCUUCCGCAAUGGACGAAAGUCUGACGGAGCAACGCCGCGUGAGUGAUGAAGGUUUUCGGAUCGUAAAAUCUCUGUUGUUAGGGAAGAACAAGUACCAGUUAACUGCUGGUACCUUGACGGUACCUACCAGAAAGCC